Molecule: ribosomal RNA, 2902 nt
Filed under: Salmonella enterica subsp. enterica serovar Enteritidis
Lineage: Bacteria; Pseudomonadati; Pseudomonadota; Gammaproteobacteria; Enterobacterales; Enterobacteriaceae
Description: bacterial LSU rRNA
Rfam family: Bacterial large subunit ribosomal RNA
Source: RNAcentral
UUAAGCGACUAAGCGUACACGGUGGAUGCCCUGGCAGUCAGAGGCGAUGAAGGGCGUGCUAAUCUGCGAUAAGCGCCGGUAAGGUGAUAUGAACCGUUAUAACCGGCGAUACCCGAAUGGGGAAACCCAGUGUGACUCGUCACACUAUCAUUAACUGAAUCCAUAGGUUAAUGAGGCGAACCGGGGGAACUGAAACAUCUAAGUACCCCGAGGAAAAGAAAUCAACCGAGAUUCCCCCAGUAGCGGCGAGCGAACGGGGAGGAGCCCAGAGCCUGAAUCAGCAUGUGUGUUAGUGGAAGCGUCUGGAAAGGCGCGCGAUACAGGGUGACAGCCCCGUACACAAAAGCGCAUGUGCUGUGAGCUCGAUGAGUAGGGCGGGACACGUGGUAUCCUGUCUGAAUAUGGGGGGACCAUCCUCCAAGGCUAAAUACUCCUGACUGACCGAUAGUGAACCAGUACCGUGAGGGAAAGGCGAAAAGAACCCCGGCGAGGGGAGUGAAAAAGAACCUGAAACCGUGUACGUACAAGCAGUGGGAGCACCCUUUGGGUGUGACUGCGUACCUUUUGUAUAAUGGGUCAGCGACUUAUAUUCUGUAGCAAGGUUAACCGAAUAGGGGAGCCGGAGGGAAACCGAGUCUUAAUUGGGCGUUAAGUUGCAGGGUAUAGACCCGAAACCCGGUGAUCUAGCCAUGGGCAGGUUGAAGGUUGGGUAACACUAACUGGAGGACCGAACCGACUAAUGUUGAAAAAUUAGCGGAUGACCUGUGGCUGGGGGUGAAAGGCCAAUCAAACCGGGAGAUAGCUGGUUCUCCCCGAAAGCUAUUUAGGUAGCGCCUCGUGAAUUCAUCUCCGGGGGUAGAGCACUGUUUCGGCUAGGGGGCCAUCCCGGCUUACCAACCCGAUGCAAACUGCGAAUACCGGAGAAUGUUAUCACGGGAGACACACGGCGGGUGCUAACGUCCGUCGUGAAGAGGGAAACAACCCAGACCGCCAGCUAAGGUCCCAAAGUCAUGGUUAAGUGGGAAACGAUGUGGGAAGGCCCAGACAGCCAGGAUGUUGGCUUAGAAGCAGCCAUCAUUUAAAGAAAGCGUAAUAGCUCACUGGUCGAGUCGGCCUGCGCGGAAGAUGUAACGGGGCUAAACCAUGCACCGAAGCUGCGGCAGCGACACUGUGUGUUGUUGGGUAGGGGAGCGUUCUGUAAGCCUGUGAAGGUGUGUCGUGAGGCAUGCUGGAGGUAUCAGAAGUGCGAAUGCUGACAUAAGUAACGAUAAAGCGGGUGAAAAGCCCGCUCGCCGGAAGACCAAGGGUUCCUGUCCAACGUUAAUCGGGGCAGGGUGAGUCGACCCCUAAGGCGAGGCCGAAAGGCGUAGUCGAUGGGAAACGGGUUAAUAUUCCCGUACUUGGUGUUACUGCGAAGGGGGGACGGAGAAGGCUAUGUUGGCCGGGCGACGGUUGUCCCGGUUUAAGCGUGUAGGUGUGUGUUCCAGGUAAAUCCGGUUCACUUUAACACUGAGGCGUGACGACGAGGCACUACGGUGCUGAAGCAACAAAUGCCCUGCUUCCAGGAAAAGCCUCUAAGCAUCAGGUAACAUCAAAUCGUACCCCAAACCGACACAGGUGGUCAGGUAGAGAAUACCAAGGCGCUUGAGAGAACUCGGGUGAAGGAACUAGGCAAAAUGGUGCCGUAACUUCGGGAGAAGGCACGCUGACACGUAGGUGAAGUGAUUUACUCAUGGAGCUGAAGUCAGUCGAAGAUACCAGCUGGCUGCAACUGUUUAUUAAAAACACAGCACUGUGCAAACACGAAAGUGGACGUAUACGGUGUGACGCCUGCCCGGUGCCGGAAGGUUAAUUGAUGGGGUCAGCGCAAGCGAAGCUCCUGAUCGAAGCCCCGGUAAACGGCGGCCGUAACUAUAACGGUCCUAAGGUAGCGAAAUUCCUUGUCGGGUAAGUUCCGACCUGCACGAAUGGCGUAAUGAUGGCCAGGCUGUCUCCACCCGAGACUCAGUGAAAUUGAACUCGCUGUGAAGAUGCAGUGUACCCGCGGCAAGACGGAAAGACCCCGUGAACCUUUACUAUAGCUUGACACUGAACAUUGAGCCUUGAUGUGUAGGAUAGGUGGGAGGCUUUGAAGUGUGGACGCCAGUCUGCAUGGAGCCGACCUUGAAAUACCACCCUUUAAUGUUUGAUGUUCUAACGUGGACCCGUUACCCGGGUUGCGGACAGUGUCUGGUGGGUAGUUUGACUGGGGCGGUCUCCUCCUAAAGAGUAACGGAGGAGCACGAAGGUUGGCUAAUCCUGGUCGGACAUCAGGAGGUUAGUGCAAUGGCAUAAGCCAGCUUGACUGCGAGCGUGACGGCGCGAGCAGGUGCGAAAGCAGGUCAUAGUGAUCCGGUGGUUCUGAAUGGAAGGGCCAUCGCUCAACGGAUAAAAGGUACUCCGGGGAUAACAGGCUGAUACCGCCCAAGAGUUCAUAUCGACGGCGGUGUUUGGCACCUCGAUGUCGGCUCAUCACAUCCUGGGGCUGAAGUAGGUCCCAAGGGUAUGGCUGUUCGCCAUUUAAAGUGGUACGCGAGCUGGGUUUAGAACGUCGUGAGACAGUUCGGUCCCUAUCUGCCGUGGGCGCUGGAGAACUGAGGGGGGCUGCUCCUAGUACGAGAGGACCGGAGUGGACGCAUCACUGGUGUUCGGGUUGUCAUGCCAAUGGCACUGCCCGGUAGCUAAAUGCGGAAGAGAUAAGUGCUGAAAGCAUCUAAGCACGAAACUUGCCCCGAGAUGAGUUCUCCCUGAGACUUAGAGUCUCCUGAAGGAACGUUGAAGACGACGACGUUGAUAGGCCGGGUGUGUAAGCGCAGCGAUGCGUUGAGCUAACCGGUACUAAUGAACCGUGAGGCUUAACCUU